AAGAAUUGCCCCGUCUUCUCGAAGAUGGGUUCUAUUCCAAACCGUGUUUACAUACCUUUGUUGCUUUGGCGGGCCGCCGUUUCGGCGUUGGCUCCGGCUGACUGCGCCCGCCGGGGGACCCAAACUCUUGUAUUUCUUACUUUGCAUGUCUGAGUGGAAUCAUAAACAAAUGAAUCA
Molecule: unclassified non-coding RNA, 177 nt
Filed under: uncultured Meliniomyces
Lineage: Eukaryota; Fungi; Ascomycota; Leotiomycetes; Helotiales; Helotiaceae
Description: sequence contains ITS1
Source: RNAcentral